GUUCUUCCCUGCCUUCAACGCGCUUUGCCUGUGUGAGAAUGCACUGCAGCUAAUAAUGUGUCGGUGCACACACACACACACACACACACACACACACACACACACACACUCACACACACCUCCUGAUCCAUUUGUGCUCUGUCCCCUCAUUAUCUACAAAGUAUGCAGGUUCACAUAAUAAAGCUAGCCUAGAUGCUAAUGAUCUUUUAUAUAUAGGCCACAUGGGAGUGUUAGUGUGUGUGUGUGUGUGUGUGUGUGUGUGUCUGUGUGCCCGGUGAAUCUAUGAGGAAAGUCUGGAUUAUUACCAUCAAUUGUUUUCUGUCUGUACAAUCUUUUUUUUCCACAGACAAAGGAAUACAUUAAAGUCUGAAAGGUCUUUAUAGUCAAUUUAUAAAAGUUCAAGACCGCCCUGUUUUUUCGUCUUUUCCCAUGCUUUUAACAGAAUACAUUCACAUUUUGAAAAGGAAAGAUCAUUUAUUUCCUUUAAAACAUGGGAGUGCACCACUCACCAUCCAUCAGACAAUGUCAUUUCAAAAGCCUGUCUGAUAUUAUGGCCUCCUCUGCUCCUCCUCAUGGCUCCUCUCCCCGCAUGGGUCGAGAUGAACGGUGUAGUUAUAAACGCAUGGGUCGAGAUGAACGUGUAGUUAUAAACGCAUGGGUCGAGAUGAACGGUGUAGUUAUAAACGCAUGGGUCGAGAUGAACGUGUAGUUAUAAACGUAUGGGUCGACAUGAACGGUGUAGUUAUAAACGCAUGGGUCGAGAUGAACGGUGUAGUUAUAAACGCAUGGGUCGAGAUGAACGGUGUAUAGUUAUAAACGCAUGGGUCGAGAUGAACGUGUAGUUAUAAACGCAUGGGUCGAGAUGAACGUGUAGUAAUAAACGCAUGGGUCGAGAUGAACGUGUAGUUAUAAACGCAUGGGUCGAGAUGAACGGUGUAGUUAUAAACGCAUGGGUCGAGAUGAACAAUGUAGUUAUAAACGCAUGGGUCGACAUGAACGUGUAAUUAUAAACGCAUGGGUCGAGACGGCUGUCUGAGGGAACAAGACGUAGGCCUGAAAGCUCAUCCCUUUCCAUUCAUUGUAGCAUGAGGACAUUUUAGCCACAAUUCUAUGUUCAAAAUAUUGUUUAAUUAUAUAGGUUUUAUUUGUGGGUCACAUUAUUUUGGGUGGGCACGUGCCCACCCUGAGUCAGUGGGCGUGACGCCGCGUGAAUGCUUCAACCAUUUCCUUAUUCCUUAGUGACCGCAUUUGUAGACAGAACGUUUUGCACAAACCCAUGGUUGGGCCACACAGGGUGUCUUUAUGUUGUGCCAUGUGAUCUUUAUGUCUUGGGGGAGAUGGAGUAACAUCACGUUUGACAUGAGGACACAGUGAGGGGAGAUGGGUGCAGGAUGGAUGAAGGUUUGUGUGUAGUUAAGGUGAGUGUGUGUGUGUGUGUGUGUGUGUGUGAAGGUUUGAGUGUAGUUAAGGUGUGUGUGUGUGUGUGAAGGUUUGUGUGUAGGUAAGGUGAGUGUGUGUGUGUGUGUGUGUGUGUGUGUGUGAAGGUUUGUGUGUAGGUAAGGUGAGUGUGUGUGUGUGUGUGUGUGUGUGUGAAGGUUCGUGUGUAGGUAAGGUGAGUGUGUGUGUGUGUGUGUGUGUGAAGGUUUGUGUGUAGGUAAGGUGAGUGUGUGUGUGUGUGAAGGUUUGUGUGUAGGUAAGGUGAGUGUGUGUGUGUGUGUGUGAAGGUUUGUGUGUAGGUAAGGUGAGUGCCGUCUCAGACUACUGGGCUGAAAGCAUCGGAGGAUUACUUCAUACACACACACACACACACACACACACACACACACACACAGACACACACACACACACACACACACAGACGCACACACACACACACUCACACACACACACACACACACACACACACACACAGACACACACACACACACACACACAUGCAUCGGAGGAUUACUUCUGCUUCUUUUAAACGUCACCAUAGCAACCGACGUGUUUGGGUUUUUUUCCUGGCUGAAGACAUGAACAAGGAGAGUGCUUCCGUUCACUGAAGAAGGUGAACACACACACACACACACACACACACACUCAUGAAGAAGGAGAGUGCUUCCGUUCACUGAAAAAUUGAGAAUUAAAGUUUGAGAAUUAUAUGCCAGAAUGAGGACAGCAAAUACUUAUACCCACCGCAUACCCUGCACACACACACACACACACACACACAAACCCUGGUCCCAGGGGCAACGCACACACAAACACACACACACACGCACACACCCUGGUCCCAGGGGCAACGCACACACAAACACACACACACACACACACAAACACACACACACACACACAAACACCCUGGUCCCACACACACACAAACACACACACACACACACACACACACACACACCCUGGUCCCAUACACACACACACACACGCACACAAACACACACACACCCUGGUCCCACAAACACACACACACACACACACACACACACCCUGGUCGCACACACACACACACACACACACACCCUGGUCCCACACUUCAAAUCCACAGGGAUCAUUCCAUACGCUACUCACACACGCCAUUCACUCCAUAAAAAACCCUAACUUUGAAAGUAAACCUACACCCACAGAAUAUGCAUUAAAAGACUACUCUUAAGCUGACAAAAACACACACACACACACACACACACACACACACACACACACACACACACACACACACACACACACAUCCGGAAGGCCACACACGAUAAUCAGAGGAUUACGGUUCAGCCCCUGACGAUCUCCUCUUCCCUCCUGGAGGCUGCUGGGUAAUUGAGAUGGGGAUCUUCACUCUCACUUUUUCAUUUAGCCGCCGCCUCGUCCCCAUCCAGGCGGAAUGUUCUGGUUCCUCUGUGUAAUCCCCUCCUGGAGCCUGAUGUGUGUGUGUGUGUGUGUGUGUGUGUGUGUGAGUGAAUGUGUGUGUGUGUGUGUGUGUGUGUGUGUGUGUGUGUGUGUGUGUGUGUGUGUGUGUGUGUGUGUGUGUGUGUGCGCCCGCCUGAUUAGCUUGAUAAUUAACUCUUUGAGGCUCAGUCCGCCGCAGGCUAACGCUUAAAGAAAAAAAGAAAAGAAAAAGGCAUGGUGUUUCACUUUACCCAGGUAGGGCAGUCAGCUGUGUGUCGGACGUCCACCGGAACCGCGUCGGAUGAGGGUCGGGACCGAUCCGGGGUCUGAUACGCUGCGUUGGUUUUCCCUUACACGUUGUUCCGGCUGGUGUUGUCACGACAACGGAAAGUGCUGCUAAUCUUGUAAUCCAAAAAUGACUCUGUGUUCCUGUGGAUCUAAUUAGGACUUAAUAUUGAGACCUGCACUGGGCUGGGAGGCACUGUGUGUGUGUGUGUGUGUGUGUGUGUGUGUGUGUGUGUGUGUGUGUUAAUAUUUGCCUUUCCUUUCCAUUGAAGCCCCAAAGUAAGUGAUAUCCUAAAGACAUGUUUGUGUUUGUUUGUCCGUGUGUGUGUGUGGUGUGUGUGUGUGUGUGUGUGUGUGUGUGUGUGUGUGUGUGUGUGUGUGUGUGUGUGUGUGAAUAUUUGCCAUUCCUUUCCAUUGAAGCCCCAAAGUAAGUGAUAUCCUAAAGACAUGUUUGUGUUUGUUUGUCCGUGUGUGUGUGUAUGUGUGUGUGCCCAAAAGCCUGUGUGUGUGUGUGUGUGUGUAUGUGUGUGUGUGUCCUAUUAAGCCAUGUUAGGCAUGCAUGUCCACUACCCUGUCUAGACAUCAUAAGUGUCUUGUAAAAGUCCCAGGGUGCCGGAACAAGCUGAGUCAUUUGCUAAUCCUUCUGAAAACAAUCAUCGACACACACACACCCACACACACACACACACACACACAGGCUUUUGGGCAUUAGCAAAAUGAACAGCAAAACCACGCUGGUCACCCUUUCACCUUGCAGUUUAGAGAGAGCGAGAAAAAAGAGAAAAUGACACGGCACAGUAAAUAUGCAUUCAAGCUUUUUGCACAUGCCUUAAGCACACACACACACACACACACACACACACACACACACACACACACACAUGCCUUAAGCAUCUCAUUCUUUUCACAUGGGCUCGUUUUUUUAUUAUUUCCAAUUUGAGAUUAAAGGCUUAUGUGAUUAUUCAUUGCUAAUAUCAUCACAAUAUUUAGAGACUUAAAGGA
Molecule: long non-coding RNA, 4161 nt
Organism: Clupea harengus (Atlantic herring)
Lineage: Eukaryota; Metazoa; Chordata; Actinopteri; Clupeiformes; Clupeidae
Source: Ensembl